Molecule: transfer RNA, 74 nt
Filed under: Candidatus Woesebacteria bacterium RIFOXYA1_FULL_43_16
Lineage: Bacteria; Candidatus Woeseibacteriota
Description: tRNA-Ala
Rfam family: tRNA
About the family: Transfer RNA (tRNA) molecules are approximately 80 nucleotides in length. Their secondary structure includes four short double-helical elements and three loops (D, anti-codon, and T loops). Further hydrogen bonds mediate the characteristic L-shaped molecular structure. tRNAs have two regions of fundamental functional importance: the anti-codon, which is responsible for specific mRNA codon recognition, and the 3' end, to which the tRNAs corresponding amino acid is attached (by aminoacyl-tRNA synthetases). tRNAs cope with the degeneracy of the genetic code in two manners: having more than one tRNA (with a specific anti-codon) for a particular amino acid; and 'wobble' base-pairing, i.e. permitting non-standard base-pairing at the 3rd anti-codon position.
Source: RNAcentral
GGGCCUGUAGUAUACUGGUAGCACGCGCCCAUGGCAUGGGUGAAAAGCGGGUUCGAUUCCCGCCAGGUCCACCC